Molecule: ribosomal RNA, 253 nt
Filed under: uncultured bacterium
Lineage: Bacteria
Description: partial 16S ribosomal RNA
Rfam family: Bacterial small subunit ribosomal RNA
Source: RNAcentral
UACGUAGGUGGCAAGCGUUAUCCGGAAUUACUGGGCGUAAAGCGCACGCAGGCGGUCUUUUAAGUUUGACGUGAAAGCUCCCGGCUUAACUGGGAGAGGUCGUUGAAGACUGGAAGACUUGAGGCAAUGAGAGGGGUGUAGAAUUCCCGGUGUAGUGGUGGAAUGCGUAGAUAUCGGGGGGAAUACCAGUGGCGAAGGCGGCAUCCUGGACCAACACUGACGCUGAGGAGCGAAAGCCAGGGGAGCAAACGGG